GUCUCACCUGCCCACUGAUAAUUUUAAGGGCCGCGGUAUUUUGACCGUGCAAAGGUAGCAUAAUCAUUAGUCUUUUAAUUGGGGACUGGAAUGAAGGGUAGGACGAGGCACAAACUGUCUCCAAAAGAAUCAGGAAUUUAUCUUUUUAGUGAAAAGACUAAAAUAAGGUUAUAGGACGAGAAGACCCUAUAGAACUUCAUAAAUUAUACAUAAAUCUUUUAGGAAUUAGCGAGGGUUUUAUGUAAACUUUAUUGUGUUGGGGUGACAGGGUAAUAACAUAACUUACUUUAAUUAAACCACAGAUAAGUGAUUGAAGGAACCGUAAAUAGCGAGUAAAAAUUUAAGUUACCUUAGGGAUAACAGCGUAAUCUUCUUUGAGAGUUCAUAUCGAUAAGAAGGGUUGCGACCUCGAUGUUGGAUUAAAGGUAAUUCUAGGUGCAGAAGCUUAGAGUUAGGUC
RNAcentral lists this ribosomal RNA (458 nucleotides) under Ephemerella cornutus. RNAcentral describes it as "partial 16S ribosomal RNA". It matches the Rfam family "Bacterial large subunit ribosomal RNA", at positions 1852 to 2577 of the family's 2925-position model. The record is from RNAcentral. Lineage: Eukaryota; Metazoa; Arthropoda; Insecta; Ephemeroptera; Ephemerellidae.